Molecule: small RNA, 643 nt
Filed under: Histoplasma capsulatum var. duboisii H88
Lineage: Eukaryota; Fungi; Ascomycota; Eurotiomycetes; Onygenales; Ajellomycetaceae
Description: Histoplasma capsulatum H88 hypothetical RNA
Source: RNAcentral
GUGGAAAAUCAACCCUCCUCCAUACAAAGUAUUUGAUUGACUUCAUAAUUAUACAUCUACCUCAAAUACUUGCCAGAUCAUCAUUAAAUUGAUAUUUUUCAAUUCCUCAGUUAUUUGACUAUCUCCUUAGCUAUUUUACAAUCUCUUAUCUCUUUUGAACAUGGCACAAUCAUUGAUGAAAGAGAAUGUGUCUUUUGAAUCUCAAACCUCAUCUCAUCAGUCAUGAUCAGCCCAAUAUGAUUUAUCUGAUGAAGAAGAAUUACCUCAAUAAUCACUACACUCUUUCAAUGAUAUAGAUAAUGAAUAUAAGACAUCAGACAGUGAUUUAACAGAUCUUGAUUCUAUUGAUACUUUUUCAGAUCUUGAGAUUAUUAAUACUCUGUAAGAAAAUUCUCAACUGAAUCAUUGUGGCCUGUAGCUCCAGCCUAUCAUACCUUCUACACAGCAGAAAAUAACAUUGAAACUUACUCACAUUAUUAAAAUAUUACAGUGUGUAACGGGCGUACUACCGAUUAACGGACUAAGCACUAUCCUAACAAGCCGCAAUCGCUCGCUUGCGCUCGCUUAUCCAGCUUGAAAACACACUGUUUAAUCCCUCAAAUGAACAUAAUGAAAGAUAUAAGUAGCUGAAUAUAACUUGUAU